Molecule: non-coding RNA, 1422 nt
Organism: Oryctolagus cuniculus (rabbit)
Lineage: Eukaryota; Metazoa; Chordata; Mammalia; Lagomorpha; Leporidae
Source: RefSeq, a predicted model, not a curated record
CGUGACCUAACGACCUCCCACUAGGCCCGCCCCCCUGGUGCGGCAGCUGGGCAAAUCGCCACCCUCCCAGCGCCAUUAACUGGAUAUGAACACUUUGAGAGUCUCAGUCCACACUGUCCCAGGAAAAGUGUAAGGGUCUUCCGCCGAGGGCCUGUUGGUGGCUGAGCUGGGACCCAGAGGCCUGGCGCAGGGCCGGAGCGCAGAGCCCGGGCAGCCGCCUGCCUGCCCACGGCCUCGCGCCUCCAUGCGGGCAAGACACGGUGGAGGCAGCCCCUUUUCCAGUGGCAGCUUCUGGCCCAGUGAUGGAUGACCUGUUGGCGCUCCUGAAUGGCGCCCUUUGUUCAGGAGAUCCCAUGUGCCCCCUUUUUAUUGAGUUGUUGACUCAGAGGGGCAGGAAAGUUCCACAAAUCCAACGGCAGGCCCGGCUCUCGCCAUGCCCAGGUGGGGAAGUCGGGGACCUCAUGCUUCCCAGAAGGUGGGUAGGAAGCUGUGGGGCUCCCUCAAGGCAAAAUACCCCGUAAGAAGCAGACUUUCUGUACCCGGGGCUGAGCCAACUGUGUGUCUGGAGAGAGCCGAGGGAACAUAGGUCUUGCCCUCAGCCUCCUCCCUGGCUUCUAGAAGAUACAGGGUACCCCAGAUGUGCAGUAUCCACCCGGAAAGAAAGAAAGAAACAGAGCUGGGGUGAGUUAGAGCUCUCUUCCCUGCCCCAAGCCAGGCUCCGGUGAGCAUCCGGCCAACAGCUAACAGAGGAAGGAGUGUGACCUUGUGUUCCGUAGGAAGCAGUCCAGUGAAGGGCCCUGCGGAAACGGGGGACAAAGCUGACCUUUUAUCCAGCAAGAAAUCGCAUGUUAGUCCUGCUGAGGACAGAUUUAAAGGGUGCUCCUGGCCUUGCCUUCUCUUCUGGGUUCCCAGCCGACAGCAGAGAUGGUGGAGGUGAGCGAGCGGCUUUGGUGAAGGAGCAAAGGGACUCUGAGGGGGGAAACCCUGCAGCGCCUCCGUACACCUGCGUUAGGGUGCCACUUGGAGUUCAGCUCCUUCCCUCUCCCUGCAUCUCCUGGCCAAACCUCAGGGGACAGUGUGGAGUGAAGGCUGAGCUGCGCUCACACCUCGCACUGAGCCAGGAAGCCCCGGGCUCUGCCUCUCACCCACUUGUUGGUUCCUUUUCUGAAGCUGCCGUGCAGAUCCCACCAAGAAUCCCCUCCUCAUGAGACCGACCUCCCCAAACAGCCGUGUUGUGUGUUGACUGCUCAAAGGCAGCAGUCUUGUCCAGGGCCUGCUGGGGCCUUGGUGGACCCUGGAAUUGAGACCCCUCCCCUAAGGAGCGCCUCAGGAGCCAAGGGGCUGUCUCCACACUGACCCUAAGUGACAUGCCUCUGUGCUCAGAGGCUCAGGGGGCCCCACCUUGCACCUGAGAGAAAACAC